Molecule: long non-coding RNA, 1842 nt
Filed under: Zostera marina
Lineage: Eukaryota; Viridiplantae; Streptophyta; Magnoliopsida; Alismatales; Zosteraceae
Description: long non-coding RNA (ZMAR_LNC003365)
Source: RNAcentral
UCUAAAUAAAUAACAAAAACUUCGUAAGUAAAGGUAAAGUGAAUCGUCUAAAUAAAGAACAACGACUUCAUGAGUUAAUAUGAAGUGAGUCAUCUAAAUAAAGAACAAGGACUUCAUAAGUAAAAUGAAAGUGAGUCAACUAAAUAAGGGACAACGCGCGACUUCAUAAGUAAAAAAGGUAAGUCGAUUAAAUAAGGGACAACAACUUCAUAAGUAAAAAAGGUAAGUCGAUUAAAUAAGGGACAACAACUUCAUAAGUAAAAAGAAGCGAGUCGAUUAAAUAAAGGACAACGACUUCAUAAGUAAAAAAAAGUGAGUCGACUAAAUAAGGGACAACGAUUUUAUAAGUAAAAUAAAAAGUGAGCCGACUAAAUAACGAACGACUUCAGAAGUAAAAAAAAAGUGAGACGUAGAAGAUUUGGAAUGUAGAGGAGACGUAGAGAAAUAGAAAAAAGACCAACGAAUAGAGAUGUAAAUGAGACGUAGAAGAUUGUGAAGAGGAACAACGAUUAGAAAUGUAGAGGAAGAUUGUAAAUAGAAACAACGAUUAGAAAGAUAAAAGAGACACACGAGAGGGUAAUAAGGAGAAACGAAACGAAGAGAUAGAAAAAAGAGACGUAGAAAUUUUUUAUUAAAGGACUACGACUACACAGAUUGACGAGACUAACGAAAUUGAAAUGGGGGACAACUAGUAUACAAUUACGAGAUUGUAAUAACAAACAAUCAAUGCAUAGAUUUAGGAGACUUAAAAAAUGGCAAUAAGGAAAUGGUAAUAUAUUGGAAAAAAGAUAGAUCGACGAGACUUGAAUUACAUAGACAUGGUCGGAAAAAAAAUAAGUUGCUGAUAAUAUGAGAUGGAGAUAUAGGAAUAAAAGAAAAUAACAUAAAAAAAGAGUAAAAGAAUCAGAUAAAAAUAUGACAUAUCAAAAUGAUGAAAAUUUGAUAAACAAAAGGUGAAUGACAACAACAAAAAAUCUAGCAAUGGGUUCAAUGAACUUCCGAUGAACUUCAAAAAAAUGAAAAAAGGAAGAAGAAAGAGAUUGCGUGUGAAGGUAAAAAGCUAGGUAGUUAGGAGGUAGGGUACAAAUUGUAAAAGACUUCAUGGUGAUCUGUGCACAAACUGAAUAAAAAAUAAUAAAAAGACGGACGACUGAGAUGUGGAAUUGAAAGAUCGGACGGUUCAGAUAGGAUGAGCGUUUUUGAGCUCACCCUAUGCUGAGCGCACCUGAAAAAAGCUGUAAUUAAUUAUAAAAAUACAGACCAAAUAUGAAGAUGAUGGACCAAAACUGAGACAGCUCCACCAAAUAUAAAAAUGGCACCAAAUACUUAUUUAUACUUAUUUUCGUCAAAUAUAACAUCGCCUCCUCCUCCACCACCACUACUCACUGAGUUUGGAAAUUGAUCUUCCCCAUUGAAACCAUUAAAAAAAUAAUCCCAACCACUGGGUGUUUGCGCAUGAUACACAGUAGUAAGAGAGGUAGGAGAAGCAAGUGUAGGACCACUUUCCAAAUCAUUAUUGGAAAGAGAUCCAUACCCUAAACUACUAUAACCACCACCAUCACCAUUGACAAAGUUUGACGACAAUGGACUUUUUCCUCCGGCGCUACUUUGAGAAUAACUCAAACCACUACUCGAUUCAUGUGCUGAAGCAAUAAAAGUCGAAGCUGGUGCUAUAGAGGAAGAAACAAGGGAAUGAUCCAAAUAAGGAUUGCUGAAAACAACUCCAAUGCUAGAGAUUAAAAGUGCCCUAGAUGCAUAAGCCGAGCUUCGAAAGAAUAUCAACAAAAAGACAAUGGAGAUUAUUUUUGAACUAACCAUAGUUCUAUUGAAAUAUUGUGAACU